This 303-nucleotide long non-coding RNA is filed under the name Ananas comosus (pineapple). RNAcentral describes it as "long non-coding RNA (ACOM_LNC032513)". Lineage: Eukaryota; Viridiplantae; Streptophyta; Magnoliopsida; Poales; Bromeliaceae. The record is from RNAcentral.
AUUUGCAUGUUUAGCGAAUCUGAAUGUUGGAGCUUAAAUGUUAGUUAAAUAUACAUGCUGGACUUGAAAAUUGACUUAGAAGAAAACUGGCGUUUCUACACUGUCACAUGUUAAAACUACCAUAUUUAGCUCUAGGAGCCGUAGUUGUUUUGUAUCACUGCAGUAUGAGAGCAGUGGAUAGUCAGGAUAGUGUAGAUUGUAUUUACGCUCGUACUGAGAUGCCGAGCUUAUUUUUAAGUAGUGUUUAGACUAUUCCGGACUGUCGGGUGCUGUUGAGGUUAACGGUGACCCAGAUUGCUGUUU